RNAcentral lists this ribosomal RNA (466 nucleotides) under uncultured bacterium. Its description in RNAcentral is "partial 16S ribosomal RNA". It matches the Rfam family "Bacterial small subunit ribosomal RNA", at positions 28 to 507 of the family's 1533-position model. The record is from RNAcentral.
GACGAACGCUGGCGGCGCGCCUAACACAUGCAAGUCGAACGAGCGAGAGAGAGCUUGCUUUCUUGAGCGAGUGGCGAACGGGUGAGUAACGCGUGAGGAACCUGCCUCAAAGAGGGGGACAACAGUUGGAAACGACUGCUAAUACCGCAUAAGCCCACGGUGCCGCAUGGCAGAGAGGGAAAAGGAGCAAUCCGCGUUGAGAUGGCCUCGCGUCCGAUUGGGUAGUUGGUGAGGUAACGGCCCACCAAGGCGACGAGCGGUAGCCGGACGGAGAGGCUGAACCGCCACAUUGGGACUGCGACACGGCCCCGACUCCUACGGGACGCAGCAGUGGGGAAUAUUGCACGAUGGGGGCAAACCUGAUGCAGCGGCGCCGCGUGGAGGAAGAAGGUCUUCGGAUUGUAAACUCCUGUUGUUGGGGAAGAUAAUGACGGUACCCAACAAGGAAGUGACGGCUAACUACGUG